UUUGACAGUUGUUUUCCUGAGCACUUUUUCUGUCCCGAGGUUUGUCCUGUAAUUUCAGCUGUUGAAAAUACAGGACAAAAUCGUCCCGAUCACAGGAGAAAAGAUUAAGUGUGUAUAUAUUGACACGUUGCAGUAUGUAUGCGGAGUCAACACGGUGAGUUAAGGUAUCAAAAAUGAAGGCUUGCUGCAGUUCAAUACGACGCUUUUCUAGUGUAGUUAGGCCUAUCAGAGCACACCUUUGCUCAUAAGGCGGGAGUCGGAGCGGGUCAUUCCAGGGAAGACGCCGGAGAGCGUAUCUUACGAAGCUACGUUGAACUCGUUCGAGGCGGAAGCAUUGAGUGCUCUGAGAGGGAGCCCACACCUGGACAGCAUACUCCAUGAUACUACGAACGGACGAGCAGUAGAUGGCUUUCAGUGCAUAUAUGUCGUCAAAAUCCCUUGUGUUUCGGCGAAGAAAUCCAAGUGCUGCAAAGCCCUUUGCCACGGUUAGCGCUAUGUGCUCGGCGAAAGUGAGCCUGUUGUCGAUUUUAAUCCCUAGAUCAAGAAUAGAUUUUGUAUUUUCCAAACAGAGGCCGGAUAGCUGGUAGUCAAAAUUUAUAACAUUUCUUGAUCGGGUAAAAUUAAUGAUCUUGCACUUUUUCGCAUUUGCUUGCAUUCCGUUCAUCUGACACCAGCUCUCUAAUGUAGCGAUGUCCGCUUGCAGGGCGAGACAGUCUACAGUGCUGUGAAUCUUGAAGGAUUGAAGAGUUGCGCACAGGUCGUUCACAAAGAUUAUGAAGAGAAGCGGUCCAAGGUGACUCCCCUUGUAACCGUCUGUUACAUGUUUUUGUGUGGCUCCGCCACAAAAUCAAGCAAUCCCUGUCCUUUACGGAAAAACAACAAAUUUCACCCAAAAGAACGGCUAACUUCACCCAUCCCAACUGUCAUUCCGCACAGGCACUCUCUUUCUCUGAGUGAUCCAUAGGCGUCGGGCUCAACCAGGGUCGUCGCGGGGAAGUGUGGGCACCCAGAGAACGACGCACCAUGUAAUUUUGCAGGAUGUAUGGGCGUCGGCCAAAACUUGAGGUCUCGCGAAUAUCGGCACCGCUAAGCAUGUCCUUUCUGUCUGUGAUCUCGUUAGAGAAAAGAAGUGCGCGUCUUGUGUCGUUAAAAGUACAAAAUACAAAAACGCAUUAAAAAGAACGAUAAGUAGUACGGUGCAAAUAAUAAAAUGCGGAAAUAGUACGCUAAAGAAAUGUUAAAAGAACAAACUAUUGUGAACAUUGAACCGAACAAAUACACGCCACAAAGAAAAGGUAAAUUAUUGUAAAACAAAAACAAAACCAUUUGUAAGCCACGUGGACGAUUAUAUUUGCUGGUAUUAUAACCCUACUUGGCAGGUCCAAGAGGGCCUUUUCUUGUUUAUAUGCUUGUUCUCCAGCUACAUCAUCCCGUUAAAACGCACAGCGACACAAAUAACCCGAUCAAAAAGCAGACAGAAAGAUGCCAACAUCUUAACCUUACUCGCCACUUCAAGGUUACUGACGAAGUCCUCCCGGUGCAUGACAACAGGCCGGUAUUGUCAACAACAAGGAUCAGGCUCUUCCGGGACGCCGGAAAGAGCUCUGUCAAGGACUACUCUCGUCGUUUGCAACAACAACAACAACAACAUCGAUCGAUGGAAAUCCAUCGAAAUAUCGUUCGUCGGUUCCGCUGCAAAGGGCAGCUUCAAGCAAAGCGCUGUGAGAAAAAUUCUAACCGCAAGUAUACUCUAAGAAAAUUGUGACGUCACUAUCAAAAGUUGUAAAAAUAAACCCCAAUAUUAUGUUUAUGUAAAACCUCUAGCUCUAGUAAUUUCCGAGAUAAUUAGUUACUUUACACCUAUUUGUCAAGUAAAUUUCGUUUUCUCAAUCCUUCACUCUAAAUGUUCGCUCCCAUGAAUUGGUAUGCUUUGCCCGCCUCGAUUUAAUGUUCAUUAAUAGUGUGGACUGGUUGCUAGCAUGCGAAGUAAUCACCCGUGUACGCCCCUGGUCGACUCGAUUCUGAUUGGAUCACCCUGCUGCGAGUUCCGCGGAAAGAAAGUGUCGCGUUGCAUAAAACAUCAAAACGACCCUGAGUUCCCAUUUGUUUACCUUUCCCAAAUCCCCACCCACUGAGCUAACUCCGUGUUACAAAUUGGCGCCCGCAAAAAAAAUUUACUUUCGAUACUUUUUCCCAGA
This is a long non-coding RNA of Uranotaenia lowii, 2198 nucleotides long. RefSeq lists it as uncharacterized. The record is from RefSeq and is a predicted model, not a curated record. Lineage: Eukaryota; Metazoa; Arthropoda; Insecta; Diptera; Culicidae. The transcript has 3 exons.